RNAcentral lists this ribosomal RNA (450 nucleotides) under uncultured bacterium. RNAcentral describes it as "partial 16S ribosomal RNA". It matches the Rfam family "Bacterial small subunit ribosomal RNA", at positions 354 to 796 of the family's 1533-position model. The record is from RNAcentral.
GUGGGGAAUUUUGGACAAUGGGCGCAAGCCUGAUCCAGCAAUGCCGCGUGCAGGAAGAAGGCCUUCGGGUUGUAAACUGCUUUUGUACGGAACGAAACGGUCCGGGUUAAUACCCUGGGCUAAUGACGGUACCGUAAGAAUAAGCACCGGCUAACUACGUGCCAGCAGCCGCGGUAAUACGUAGGGUGCAAGCGUUAAUCGGAAUUACUGGGCGUAAAGCGUGCGCAGGCGGUUUUGUAAGACAGGCGUGAAAUGCCCGGGCUCAACCUGGGAAUUGCGCUUGUGACUGCAAGGCUGGAGUGCGGCAGAGGGGGAUGGAAUUCCGCGUGUAGCAGUGAACUGCGUAGAUAUGCGGAGGAACACCGAUGGCGAAGGCAAUCCCCUGGACCUGUACUGACGCUCAUGCACGAAAGCGUGGGGAGCAAACAGGAUUAGAUACCCUUGUAGUCC